GAGCAUGUUCCCAAAGUCUGUGACUAGUGUGGCCAUCUGAUCUCCAAGUGCGCGCAAGAGCAACUUGGAGAGACCGUGACAGCUCAGGUCAGCAAAGUAUCUGCAGCUGCCACUCGCCUGUCCCAUAAAA
Small nucleolar RNA from Echinops telfairi (small Madagascar hedgehog), 130 nucleotides. The record is from Ensembl. Lineage: Eukaryota; Metazoa; Chordata; Mammalia; Afrosoricida; Tenrecidae.